RNAcentral lists this ribosomal RNA (253 nucleotides) under uncultured bacterium. Its description in RNAcentral is "partial 16S ribosomal RNA". It matches the Rfam family "Bacterial small subunit ribosomal RNA", at positions 524 to 776 of the family's 1533-position model. The record is from RNAcentral.
GACGUAGGGCGCGAGCGUUGUCCGGAUUUAUUGGGCGUAAAGAGCUCGUAGGCGGCUUGUCGCGUCGUCCGUGAAAACUUGGGGCUCAACCCCAAGCUUGCGGUCGAUACGGGCAGGCUAGAGUUCGGUAGGGGAAACUGGAAUUCCUGGUGUAGCGGUGAAAUGCGCAGAUAUCAGGAGGAAUACCGGUGGCGAAGGCGGCAUCCUGGACCGACAUUGACGCUGAUGAGCGAAAGCUAGGGGAGCAAACGGG